Salvia hispanica is the source of this 648-nucleotide non-coding RNA. The record is from RefSeq and is a predicted model, not a curated record. NCBI's taxonomy places the organism in Eukaryota, Viridiplantae, Streptophyta, Magnoliopsida, Lamiales, Lamiaceae.
UAAAAAUUAGGAAUUCACUCCCUUCCUGCGAUUUCACGAUUUCACUCUCAUCGCGGAGAAGUUUCUCCGUCCAUCCCGUCGCGAUUUCAACAUCAACUGAAAACGAGGAUGUCCACGUCGUCGUGUAAUAUGAGCCAUGGGAGUUGGCCAAUACCAAAAGUCAUCGUUUGUAAUCACGGAAUUGAAGCUGAAAUUGUAACAUCGAAGACGGAUGCCAAUCCUGGACGGCGUUUCUAUCGGUGCCAUAUUUGGAAGGAGGAUGACUGCAAGUUCUUCCGCUGGAUUGAUCCAUCUUUGUCAACAAAUCAAGAGAACUAUAUGAACAAAUUGAAGAUGGAGAGAGAUAGCAUGGAAAAGGAAUUGCAAGCAAGAGUUGCUAUGCAGGAUAUGCUAAAGGAGAAAGUCUGUUCGAAGGAAGUUGAAUUUGAAUCACUCCAAAUGGUGGCUGAAAAUUUGCGAAGACAAAACAGGAAAUUGAAGUAUGUCAUUUUGUGUUUAUGUGUCGUGGUCUGGCUUCUUAUAUAGAUUAUAAGAGUCUAGAUUAUGUAGUAUGGAAUUAGGGACUUAUGGUGGCAGAAAAUGUAAUGUUGUGUAAUUGUGGCUGAAAAUUGUGCCAUGCUAUGAUAUUAUUUUGCCGUUUUGGUGUAA